RNAcentral lists this ribosomal RNA (445 nucleotides) under uncultured bacterium. RNAcentral's name for it is "bacterial SSU rRNA". It matches the Rfam family "Bacterial small subunit ribosomal RNA", at positions 331 to 792 of the family's 1533-position model. The record is from RNAcentral.
CCAGACUCCUACGGGAGGCAGCAGUGGGGAAUAUUGCACAAUGGGGGAAACCCUGAUGCAGCAACGCCGCGUGAGUGAAGAAGUAUUUCGGUAUGUAAAGCUCUAUCAGCAGGGAAGAAGAAGGACGGUACCUGACUAAGAAGCCCCGGCUAACUACGUGCCAGCAGCCGCGGUAAUACGUAGGGGGCGAGCGUUAUCCGGAUUUACUGGGUGUAAAGGGAGCGUAGACGGUUAAUCAAGUCUGAAGUGAAAGCCCGCGGCUCAACUGCGGAACGGCUUUGGAAACUGAGUAACUGGAGUGCUGGAGGGGCAGGCGGAAUUCCUGGUGUAGCGGUGAAAUGCGUAGAUAUCAGGAGGAACACCGGUGGCGAAGGCGGCCUGCUGGACAGUAACUGACGUUGAGGCUCGAAAGCGUGGGGAGCAAACAGGAUUAGAUACCCUAGUA